UUCACACUCGUGUCAGUGCGCGUGCGCCUCGUCAUAACCUUAGCGAGACUCGUCCGCGAAACAGUAUUCAUGUAAUAAUUGUAGUUUGAAAAAUUACAAAUAUUUAAAAAUGUUAAAAAAUAUUUUGGCCGGUGCAUUGUAUGUACAAAAAUAGCUGAGAGAGAAAAGAAAGGCUGCGCAAAAGUGUAAAACCUACAAACUUUAAAAUUACAUAAAAUUUUUGAAAGAAAAGAUACUACAUAGUAGAUAGGUAUUUAAUUGCAGUGCAUUAAAACUCAAGACAUUGAACAAAUAUUUUUUUAUCACAGUACUAUAAGGAGAAUUAAUAAGUAUUAUUCAAUAUCUUUGAGAAAAAUAUUAAAUAUUUUAGCAGCUCCUUAAAAAUAGUGAAAAAGUUACCAAGAUUAACAACCCUUGAAAGAAAAAAAGAAGUUAACAAGCAUUUUGAUCCUUGGUGUCAAUACGUUAAGAUAAAGAAAGUCAAAGAAAAAAAUUAACUUCACAAAGAUGCAAGCAAUAAAAUGCUAAAUAAGACUAUCAGAUUAACAACCCUUGAAAGAAAAAAAGAAGUUAACGAGCAUUUUGAUCCUUGGUGCCAAUACGUCAUAAUAAAGAAAGUCAAAGAAAUAAAAACGCAUAAGAGAUGCAAGCAAUAAAAUGCUAAAUAAAAUUAUCAGAUUAACAACCCUUGAAAGAAAAAAAGAAGUUAACGAGCAUUUUGAUCCUUGGUGCCAAUACGUCAUAAUAAAGAAAGUAAAAGAAAUAAAAAGGCAUAAGAGAUGCAAGCAAUAAAAUGCCAAAUAAAAUUAUCAGAUUAACAACCCUUGAAAGAAAAAAAGAAGUUAACGACCAUUUUGAUCCUUGGUGCCAAUACGUCAUAAUAAAGAAAGUCAAAGAAAAAAAAAACGCAUAAGAGAUGCAAGCAAUAAAAUUAUCAGACUAACAACCCUUGAAAGAAAAAAAGAAGUUUACGAGCAUUUUGAUCCUUGAUGCCAAUAGGUCAAGAUAAAGAAAGUCAAAGAAAAACAAUAAACCUCACAAAGAUGCAAGCAAUAAAAUUCUGAAUAAAAUUAUCAGUUUACAACCCUUGAAAGAAAAAAAGAAGUUAACAAGAAUUUUGAUCCUCGGUGCCAAUAUGUCAAGAUAAACAAAAAAAACACACACACAAGAUGCAAGCAAUAUAAUGCAAAAUAAAAUAAUCGGAUUAACAACCGUCGAAAGAAAUAAAGAAGUUUACAAGCAUUUUGAUCCUUGGCGCCAAUACGUUUGGAUAAAGAAAGUCAAAGAGAAAAAUUAAACCUGUAAACAUCAAGAUCAGGCAAUUCAAAGAAAAAAAAAGGAAAACAAUUACUGUUGAAAUAUUUAUUGAUUUAUAGUAAUCUAUAAAAUGGUCAAACUUUACCAUGUUAAUACUAACAAUGAACUUAUGAAUUCCAAAUAUGUGCAGAUCAUAGGUGUCUAAGAUGCAAGCAAUAUAAUACUUAAUUAAAUUAGUAAAAUGCACAACCCUUGAAAGAAAAAAAGAAGUUAACAAACGUUUUAAUCCUUGAUAUUAUAUUAUUGUAUUGGUUCAUUGUAAUUCAUGGUUUUCUGUUUGCUUACUCGAAAUCCAAAUAAAAUAUAUCAAAGACUAUAAA
This 1637-nucleotide long non-coding RNA is filed under the name Manduca sexta (tobacco hornworm). Its description in RNAcentral is "uncharacterized LOC115442849". The record is from RNAcentral. Lineage: Eukaryota; Metazoa; Arthropoda; Insecta; Lepidoptera; Sphingidae.